This 270-nucleotide ribosomal RNA is filed under the name Triticum aestivum (bread wheat). RNAcentral describes it as "partial small subunit ribosomal RNA". Lineage: Eukaryota; Viridiplantae; Streptophyta; Magnoliopsida; Poales; Poaceae. The record is from RNAcentral.
AUGGUCCUCACAUCACAACACCCGAGCAAGGCUGGCAAGGCUUGCUCGCCAUGGCCUACCACAUCGGCGAGACGGGGCGAGCAUGUGAUCACCAUCAGCAGUUCCUUCGUCACAACACCUGAGCGAGCGAGAUGUUCAGACAAAGUUAUAUGUUACACUGCUAUUGACAUAUGUCAUAGAUGGACAGUACAUAUCGUUUCUCUCCAUGUUAUAAUUUCUGUGACCUCGGCAUUUGAAAGACAUGUCAUCCGAAUCGUCUAUCAUAACUGA